GAGAAUAUAGCUCAGUUGGUAGAGCAUCUGCCUUUUAAGCAGAGGGUCGAAGGUUCGAGCCCUUCUAUUCUCA
RNAcentral lists this transfer RNA (73 nucleotides) under Chlorobium phaeovibrioides. RNAcentral describes it as "tRNA-Lys". It matches the Rfam family "tRNA". From Rfam's summary of the family: Transfer RNA (tRNA) molecules are approximately 80 nucleotides in length. Their secondary structure includes four short double-helical elements and three loops (D, anti-codon, and T loops). Lineage: Bacteria; Pseudomonadati; Chlorobiota; Chlorobiia; Chlorobiales; Chlorobiaceae. RNAcentral also lists the same sequence under 5 other names. The record is from RNAcentral.